UACGAAGGGGGCUAGCGUUGUUCGGAUUUACUGGGCGUAAAGCGCGUGUAGGCGGACUUGUAAGUUGGGGGUGAAAUCCCGAGGCUCAACCUCGGAACUGCCUCCAAAACUACAAGUCUGGAGCAAGAUAGAGGCAAGUGGAAUUGCGAGUGUAGAGGUGAAAUUCGUAGAUAUUCGGAAGAACACCGGUGGCGAAGGCGGCAUCCUGGACCGGCAUUGACGCUGAGGCGCGAAAGCCAGGGGAGCAAACGGG
Molecule: ribosomal RNA, 253 nt
Filed under: uncultured bacterium
Lineage: Bacteria
Description: partial 16S ribosomal RNA
Rfam family: Bacterial small subunit ribosomal RNA
Source: RNAcentral